RNAcentral lists this ribosomal RNA (253 nucleotides) under uncultured bacterium. RNAcentral's name for it is "partial 16S ribosomal RNA". It matches the Rfam family "Bacterial small subunit ribosomal RNA", at positions 524 to 776 of the family's 1533-position model. The record is from RNAcentral.
GACAGAGGGGGCGAGCGUUGUUCGGAAUUACUGGGCGUAAAGGGCGCGUAGGCGGCCUUCUAAGUCGAACGUGAAAUCCCCGGGCUCAACCCGGGAACUGCGUCCGAUACUGGGAGGCUUGAAUCCGGGAGAGGGAUGUGGAAUUCCAGGUGUAGCGGUGAAAUGCGUAGAUAUCUGGAGGAACACCGGUGGCGAAGGCGGCAUCCUGGACCGGUAUUGACGCUGAGGCGCGAAAGCCAGGGGAGCAAACGGG